This 236-nucleotide unclassified non-coding RNA is filed under the name Hevea brasiliensis (rubber tree). Lineage: Eukaryota; Viridiplantae; Streptophyta; Magnoliopsida; Malpighiales; Euphorbiaceae. The record is from RNAcentral.
GGAAAAGUCAUUCCAGUUGCACACUGUUUUCAACCUGGAUAAUGACAAUGGAGCAGAAGAUACACCUACUUUGAUAGAUCGAAAGGAUAAUGUCUUUAUCAUGUCUAAUCCGAAGUCAAAGUUUCCAGUACUGCAGCUAGAUUUAAGAUUGAUAUCUGAUCUUGUUGUUGUCAUUGUUUCUGCAACUUGUGGUGGCAUUGCCUUCGCUUGCGCUGGACAACCGGUUAUCACUGGAU